RNAcentral lists this ribosomal RNA (963 nucleotides) under Klebsiella pneumoniae. RNAcentral's name for it is "bacterial SSU rRNA". It matches the Rfam family "Bacterial small subunit ribosomal RNA", at positions 569 to 1532 of the family's 1533-position model. RNAcentral also lists the same sequence under 1 other name. The record is from RNAcentral. Lineage: Bacteria; Pseudomonadati; Pseudomonadota; Gammaproteobacteria; Enterobacterales; Enterobacteriaceae.
ACGCAGGCGGUCUGUCAAGUCGGAUGUGAAAUCCCCGGGCUCAACCUGGGAACUGCAUUCGAAACUGGCAGGCUAGAGUCUUGUAGAGGGGGGUAGAAUUCCAGGUGUAGCGGUGAAAUGCGUAGAGAUCUGGAGGAAUACCGGUGGCGAAGGCGGCCCCCUGGACAAAGACUGACGCUCAGGUGCGAAAGCGUGGGGAGCAAACAGGAUUAGAUACCCUGGUAGUCCACGCCGUAAACGAUGUCGAUUUGGAGGUUGUGCCCUUGAGGCGUGGCUUCCGGAGCUAACGCGUUAAAUCGACCGCCUGGGGAGUACGGCCGCAAGGUUAAAACUCAAAUGAAUUGACGGGGGCCCGCACAAGCGGUGGAGCAUGUGGUUUAAUUCGAUGCAACGCGAAGAACCUUACCUGGUCUUGACAUCCACAGAACUUUCCAGAGAUGGAUUGGUGCCUUCGGGAACUGUGAGACAGGUGCUGCAUGGCUGUCGUCAGCUCGUGUUGUGAAAUGUUGGGUUAAGUCCCGCAACGAGCGCAACCCUUAUCCUUUGUUGCCAGCGGUUAGGCCGGGAACUCAAAGGAGACUGCCAGUGAUAAACUGGAGGAAGGUGGGGAUGACGUCAAGUCAUCAUGGCCCUUACGACCAGGGCUACACACGUGCUACAAUGGCAUAUACAAAGAGAAGCGACCUCGCGAGAGCAAGCGGACCUCAUAAAGUAUGUCGUAGUCCGGAUUGGAGUCUGCAACUCGACUCCAUGAAGUCGGAAUCGCUAGUAAUCGUAGAUCAGAAUGCUACGGUGAAUACGUUCCCGGGCCUUGUACACACCGCCCGUCACACCAUGGGAGUGGGUUGCAAAAGAAGUAGGUAGCUUAACCUUCGGGAGGGCGCUUACCACUUUGUGAUUCAUGACUGGGGUGAAGUCGUAACAAGGUAACCGUAGGGGAACCUGCGGUUGGAUCACCUCCUU